UAGGGAAUCUUCCGCAAUGGGCGAAAGCCUGACGGAGCAACGCCGCGUGAGUGAUGAAGGUCUUCGGAUCGUAAAACUCUGUUAUUAGGGAAGAACAAAUGUGUAAGUAACUAUGCACGUCUUGACGGUACCUAAUCAGAAUGCCACGGCUUACUACGUACCAGCAGCUGCGGUAAUACGUAGGUGGCUAGCGUUAUCCGGAAUUGUUGGGCGUAAAGCGCGCGUAGGCGGUUUUUUAAGACUGAUGUGAAAGUCCACGGCUCAACCGUAGAGGGUAGUUGGAAACUGGGACACUAGAGUGCAGAAGAGGAAAGUGAAAUUCCAUGUGUAGCGGUGAAAUGCGCAGAGAUAUGGAGGAACACCAGUGACGAAGACGACUUUCUGGUGUGUAACUGACGCUGUUGUGCGAAAGCGUGGGGAUCAAACAGG
RNAcentral lists this ribosomal RNA (429 nucleotides) under Actinomycetes bacterium. RNAcentral describes it as "Actinobacteria bacterium partial 16S ribosomal RNA". It matches the Rfam family "Bacterial small subunit ribosomal RNA", at positions 355 to 776 of the family's 1533-position model. Lineage: Bacteria; Bacillati; Actinomycetota; Actinomycetes. The record is from RNAcentral.